RNAcentral lists this ribosomal RNA (720 nucleotides) under uncultured Actinomycetes bacterium. RNAcentral describes it as "bacterial SSU rRNA". It matches the Rfam family "Bacterial small subunit ribosomal RNA", at positions 36 to 754 of the family's 1533-position model. The record is from RNAcentral. Lineage: Bacteria; Bacillati; Actinomycetota; Actinomycetes.
UUGGCGGUGCGCUUAUGCAUGCAUGUCGAGCGAAGCUUUUCAGUAGUUUACUACAGAAAAUGACUGAGCGGUGAACGGGUGAGUAACACGUGAGCAAGUCUACCUCUAGUUACAGGGCAUAGCCCGAGUGAAACUCGCGAUUAAUACCUGGAUAUUCUUUAUUUCUCGGCAUGAGAAUAACAGGAAAGGUCCGGCGAACUAAGAUGAGCUCGCGUUCUAUCAAGCUAGUUGGGUGAGGUAAAAGCUCACCAAGGGCUACGAACGGAUAGCUGGUCUGAGAGGACGAUCAGCCACACUGGGACUGAGACACGGUCCAGACUCCUACGGGAGGCUGCAGCAGGGAAUAUUGCGCAAUGAGCGAAAGCUUGACGCAGCGACACCGCGUGUGGGAUGACGGAUCUAGGUUUGUAAACCACUUUCAGGAGGGAAGAAAAUGACGGUACCUCCACAAGAAGCCCCGGCCAACUACGUGCCAGCAGCCGCGGUAAUACGUAUGGGGCGAGCGUUGUCCGGAUUUAUUGGGCGUAAAGAGCUCGUAGGCGGUUCAACAAGUCGGUCGUGACAGUUCAGGGCUCAACCCUGAAAUGUCGAUCGAUACUGUUGUGACUAGGAUACGGUAGAGGUGAGUGGAAUUCCGAGUGUAGCGGUGAACUGCAUAGAUAUGACACAGAACGCCAAUUGCGAACGCAGCUUAUAAGCCAUGAUUGCGGCUGAGGCCGC